GACGUAGGGGGCAAGCGUUGUCCGGAAUCAUUGGGCGUAAAGCGCGUGUAGGCGGCUUGGUAAGUCCGCUCUGAAAGCCCGGGGCUCAACCCCGGGAGGCGGGUGGAUACUGUCAAGCUCGAGUCCGGAAGAGGCGAGUGGAAUUCCUGGUGUAGCGGUGAAAUGCGCAGAUAUCAGGAGGAACACCAAUGGCGAAGGCAGCUCGCUGGGACGUGACUGACGCUGAGACGCGAAAGCGUGGGGAGCAAACAGG
This 253-nucleotide ribosomal RNA is filed under the name uncultured bacterium. RNAcentral's name for it is "partial 16S ribosomal RNA". It matches the Rfam family "Bacterial small subunit ribosomal RNA", at positions 524 to 776 of the family's 1533-position model. The record is from RNAcentral.